RNAcentral lists this ribosomal RNA (295 nucleotides) under Halobacteriales archaeon. Its description in RNAcentral is "partial 23S ribosomal RNA". It matches the Rfam family "Archaeal large subunit ribosomal RNA", at positions 2680 to 2975 of the family's 2987-position model. The record is from RNAcentral. Lineage: Archaea; Methanobacteriati; Methanobacteriota; Halobacteria; Halobacteriales.
UUAGACCGUCGUGAGACAGGUCGGCUGCUAUCUAUUGGGGGUGUGAGGUGUCUGACGGGAACGUCCACAUAGUACGAGAGGAACUGUGGAUGGGUGCCACUGGUGUACCGGUUGUUCGAAAGAGCAAGUGCCGGGCAGCUACGCACCAAGGGGUAAGAGCUGAACGCAUCUAAGCUCGAAACUCACCUGGAAAAGAGACACCAUUUGAGUCCACCUGUAAAAGACAGGAUUGAUAGAUUUGGGGUGUACGCACCAAGGCAACGAGGUGUUUAGCCCGCGAAUACUAAUCGGACGA